Paramuricea clavata is the source of this 475-nucleotide non-coding RNA. Lineage: Eukaryota; Metazoa; Cnidaria; Anthozoa; Malacalcyonacea; Plexauridae. The record is from the annotation of a GenBank genome assembly.
UGUGGAUAUAUGCUCAGAGUAACAUCACAAGCAUCAUAUUCACCUGAGUACAUUACACCAACACAGAAAAAAUCGUGAUUUAUGUGUUGUUGACGCAAAUUAGUAUCAUGUUCUAAUUUUUCACCAAGAUUGUUCCUUUCCUAUUACUGCUCUAAAAUGACAAUGGGAUAUUAUUCUGGCACAGGCAGGCAGUAGCAUAGCUAGGGGGCAAAGGGGGGCUCUGCCCUCCUAACAACCUUAUCAACUGUUCUCGAUUACACACUUAUCAUGCAGUUCGUCUAUGUAUGUUGAAAAAUAAGAACCUCUAAUUAGCAAGGAAGGAAAUUUGUUAGUCGCAUAUCAAGUUAAUCGUUACAUCUUGUACAGUCCGUAUUCUUGCACUUAUCAAUCAAGAUUAAAAAGUGUCCCCAAUAUUAGCAAGAGCUCGACAACUGUCUCUCUGUAGCUUAGUUGGUUUGAGCACUGCACCGGAGUC